AGCUUUGCACAGUGGUAGUAUUGUAGUCAAUUAGGUUUAUCCGAGGCACCAUUAUUGCUAGUUGUAAAGUUUCUAAUCUAUUUCCAACAUUUAUAUUGUAUCAGAAUCUAUUGACUUUUUAAAAACUAAUUAUUGG
Molecule: small nuclear RNA, 136 nt
Organism: Vulpes vulpes (red fox)
Lineage: Eukaryota; Metazoa; Chordata; Mammalia; Carnivora; Canidae
Gene: U4
Rfam family: U4 spliceosomal RNA
About the family: U4 small nuclear RNA (U4 snRNA) is a component of the major U2-dependent spliceosome. The structure of U4 snRNA from yeast and human has been reported. U4 snRNA presents a k-turn RNA motif in the 5p-SL related to recognition of Snu13 protein.
Source: Ensembl